GUUCGUUUCAUAAAGAAGUGAGUAACGCAGCUAACGCACUAAGUUGACCGCCUGGGGAGUACGGCCGCAAGGUUAAAACUCAAAUGAAUUGACGGGGGCCCGCACAAGCGGUGGAGCAUGUGGUUUAAUUCGAUGCAACGCGAAGAACCUUACCUACCCUUGACAUCGUGCGAACUUUCCAGAGAUGGAUUGGUGCCUUCGGGAGCGCACAGACAGGUGCUGCAUGGCUGUCGUCAGCUCGUGUUGUGAAAUGUUGGGUUAAGUCCCGUAACGAGUGCAACCCUUGUCCUUAUUUGCCAGCGGUAAGCCGGGAACUCUAGGGAGACUGCCGGUGACAAACCGGAGGAAGGUGGGGACGACGUCAAGUCAUCAUGGCCCUUACGGGUAGGGCUACACACGUGCUACAAUGGCCGGUACAAAGGGUUGCGAAGCCGCGAGGUGGAGCUAAUCCCGAAAAGCCGGUCUCAGUCCGGAUCGGAGUCUGCAACUCGACUCCGUGAAGUCGGAAUCGCUAGUAAUCGUGAAUCAGAAUGUCACGGUGAAUACGUUCCCGGGCCUUGUACACACCGCCCGUCACACCAUGGGAGUGGACUGCACCAGAAGUGGUUAGCCUAACUUCGGAGGGCGAUCACCACGGUGUGGUUCAUGACUGGGGUG
Molecule: ribosomal RNA, 657 nt
Filed under: uncultured bacterium
Lineage: Bacteria
Description: bacterial SSU rRNA
Rfam family: Bacterial small subunit ribosomal RNA
Source: RNAcentral